AACGAACGCUGGCGGCGUGCCUAACACAUGCAAGUCGAACGCGAACGGGUCUUCGGACCCUAGUAGAGUGGCGCACGGGUGAGUAACACGUGGGCAAUCUACCCAGGGAUUUGGGAUAACCAGGGGAAACCCUGGCUAAUACCGAAUACGUCCAUGAGGCCUUCGGUCCUCAUGGAGAAAGGUGGCCUCUUCUCGAAAGCUGCCGUUCCUGGAUGAGCCCGCGGACCAUUAGCUUGUUGGUGAGGUAACGGCUCACCAAGGCCAUGAUGGUUAGCUGGUCUGAGAGGAUGAUCAGCCACACUGGGACUGACACACGGCCCAGACUCCUACGGGAGGCAGCAGUGGGGAAUCUUGCGCAAUGGGCGAAAGCCUGACGCAGCCACGCCGCGUGAGCGAUGAAGGUCUUCGGAUCGUAAAGCUCUGUGGGGAGAGACGAAGAAAGCCGGUGAAGAGCCGGCCUUGACGGUAUCUCCUUAGCAAGCACCGGCUAA
RNAcentral lists this ribosomal RNA (491 nucleotides) under uncultured bacterium. Its description in RNAcentral is "bacterial SSU rRNA". It matches the Rfam family "Bacterial small subunit ribosomal RNA", at positions 29 to 500 of the family's 1533-position model. The record is from RNAcentral.